ACGCCUCGUCUGCGUCACGCCGAGCCCGACGCGCAAUGCUGGCCGCCGCUGUGCGCGCUUUGUUCGUUCGGCUCGCGUUACGCAGGCGGGGGGC
RNAcentral lists this microRNA precursor (94 nucleotides) under Petromyzon marinus (sea lamprey). Its description in RNAcentral is "microRNA pma-mir-375a precursor". Its record names the gene pma-mir-375a. The stretch from base 13 to 83 matches the Rfam family "mir-375 microRNA precursor family". Lineage: Eukaryota; Metazoa; Chordata; Hyperoartia; Petromyzontiformes; Petromyzontidae. The record is from miRBase by way of RNAcentral.